AAUAACACAUUCAAAUAAUUGACACUUCUAUUCCUUCAUUAUAGAAGACAUCACAAUAAGAUGCGACCAUUGUAUCAGGUACAAACUAUUUCACGGCUUCUAAAACAUCUGGACAGUCUGAGAGAUGUUAUAAAUCCGAUAUUAAUCUCGUUAAAUCAAAUAAUAUCAGAUUGGAAUUCUGGCUAAACGAUGAUAACAGCAAAACGUUUUCAGAAAUUAUGCUACAACUGGAGGACACAAUAAGUUUUACAUUAGAAUAUGUGUCGGCGUUGUUAGGUAGCCUACUGGGUAGAACGUUACAAAUUUCUUCAUGCUUUUAUUUUUAACUAUGCUUUAUUAAAGCCAAUGCUACUUCCAAAACUUAUGAUUGUUAUGCUUUGUUUCAGUGAGGGUAUUUGGUGUAUUAGCAAUGUAGACAUUUUUAUGUCGAUUUUCGACAUUGGUACCCGAAUUUCGUUUGUUUUAUUCUUUGUUUUUAAUAUGUUAAUACCUUUAAUAUACUACA
Physella acuta is the source of this 505-nucleotide long non-coding RNA. RefSeq lists it as uncharacterized. The record is from RefSeq and is a predicted model, not a curated record. NCBI's taxonomy places the organism in Eukaryota, Metazoa, Mollusca, Gastropoda, Physidae.